This is a long non-coding RNA of Musa acuminata AAA Group (dessert banana), 2299 nucleotides long. RefSeq lists it as uncharacterized. The transcript is spliced from 4 exons. The record is from RefSeq and is a predicted model, not a curated record. Lineage: Eukaryota; Viridiplantae; Streptophyta; Magnoliopsida; Zingiberales; Musaceae.
AUAACAUCACAAUUAUCACCAUCAUUAUCGAAGAUUAUUUUGCUAUUUAUUUUAUGUUCUUUUUCAUCAAGAAGUAUGUGCUUCAGCAAAUUAUUAUUAUUAUGAUAAUUAUAUUAUUACACUAUUAAUACCGAUGCAGUCCAUCGAGAGAGGGCUAUAUAUGCAAUUUUGUGCGGAUUACCUAUAGAUGUGUAUAUUUUUAGUUCGGUCCUUCUCUUCCACUCAAUGCAAAAGACGGCCUUCCCCAAAGAUAUCGCCGCCGAUUUCUCCGGCUCUGGUGACCUCUUGAAUUCUCGAUCAGUUCUCUCGUUGGCCCAUUUCCUUGGCAUCUUUUUUUGCGGACCUUCUGGUAGAGUGACGCAAAUCCUUUGUUCGCACAUUUUUUGCGGAUCGAAUUAAGACAUUUGGAAAAGCGAGAUCUUUUUCGCCCGCAAUUAUACUCAUUUAACAUCAGCUAUAUACUCGAGAAGAUAGCAAUUGGUGGUUAUUCUCUGAUAGAAAGUUAUUUUCUUUUGGGUGCACACGGCUGAUACAUCAGCUUUGGCUGAUUAAAAAUGUGAGUUUUUGUUUCACUGAUAAUUUCCAUUCAUAAUCGGGAUAUUGCUACUAGUGAAAGGUACCAUUGUGAUUGUUUGUGACUCUCGUCACUCUCCAUGUUUAUGCCAUUACAUGUGAUCAACAGAGAUGUCUUCCAUCAAUUGACGUUGUUGAAGCAACAGAUUUCUAUGUAGAACAUAUAGCAACCUUAUUCUGGAUAGUGAUAAAGGCAUUCCAACUCCCGGCCAUUUACCUGAUUCUUGAUAUUCAUCAAAUCUCCUAGUACUCUGCAAAAUAACUUACAAUUUAUUUUUCCACUUGGUAUCUAAAUGAUGAUUUAUUUUGCCUUUGAACUGAGUAAUUAUUUUGCACAAAGAAGAUAUUUUGCUGAGCCUGAGAUUUCACAUUACUGUUUGUUUAAAUUUUAGGUCAGACAGUGAGCCGAUUGAUACAAAGCAGUACCUCGAGGAAACUUGCAAGCCAAAGUGUGUGUGUCCUUUACACGCAUACCAUGUGUUUAAAACUUCUGUGACAUUUCUGCAAAGCUUCUUGAUUUUUCUUAUUUUUAUGUACACCUAGUGAGAUUUAUAAGUAGAUAUAUUGGAAAGUGGAAGACAUUCUUCUGUUUGAUUAUGGUGUAGUUAAACUUUGACAAUUACUGAAAAAAGGAACAGAUUCCAUGUAUUUGUGAUCUUUUAUUAAAGUUCUUCUAGGAAAGUCCUCCUCUCUCUCUCUCUCUGUCUCUCUCUUCUUUUCUUUUGGGGGAUGGGGUUGGGGUUGCUCCCCUUCACCUCACAGAAAUAGCAUUUUACCAAGGUAACAACUAGGUUCUUAUCAUUCUGUGCUUUGUAUGUUUCAUUUCUGUACCCAGUCAGUGUUACUAUAUAUAUUUUUGUUUGAGACUGUUAGAUAUUAUUGUUGUUAGUUCAAGUGGCCUCAACUUUUGAAUGAACAGUAUUACUACUUAUAAAUAACAUGCACACAGCAAUAUAUGGUUUCUAAGCCAAGUAUUCUUCUAUUUGGUUUAUCAAAGACAUCUUUGAGACAACAAUUGUAUGAAGUCCCUAGAGUUGCAAGCUUAAUGAGACCCUAGAGAAAUAUAUUUUGAUAAUUAAUUGUUGGUUCAGAUUGAAGGUUGUCAAGAGACUGCUUUCGGAUUUAAUUGUUGUUAUUGUUUUUACAGAAUGAUUACUUGCCACAUACAUGUUUUUGUGCCAUUUUCCAUCUGCUGUGUUUCAUGAAUAAAAUUGCAUUAGGCAAAUUGGAGCCGUGAUCAAGUACCGACAGUUAAGAUGAGGAACAUUACAAGGUUACAGGUCCAUAGUGCUGAAGUUUGUUAGAGCACCAUUACUCGGCAUGUGUUGAGAGAAUCAAAGAAGAUGAGACUGGGCAUAAGCAUUGUACCGGGCAAUAUUUUGAUUACUGGAUGUGUAUCGACAACUGUGUUGUGCCAAAAGUUUUUGACAAGCCGAAGUGAUAGGAGAAGAAAUUAUUGCACCAUGAGUUCAAGUGAGUUACAUUUUGAACUUUAAUAGGAGGCUUAAUGUUCAUUUUGCCACUACCAUGCACCUCCAAGCACCAAACUUGUACUUGGUCCUAAAACCAGUUGGCCUCUCUUCUCAAGAACAAUUCCUAGUGGGUAUGUUUUGGAAACCUCUGCAAGAAGGUAAUAAAGAGCAAUUCUCUGCAAGCAACUGAUCAGACAAUGAGUUUACUGAAUCUUUUUUGACAAAUGGAGUAAAAGGAGAUCUAUUUGUGGUUA